UACUGGUGCCAGCAGCCGCGGUAAUUCCAGCUCCAUAGCGUAUAUUAAGUUGUUGACAGUUAAAAGCUCGUAGUUGAAUUCGGGGUUAGUAGGUUGGUCAUGCCUCUGGUAUGUACUGGUCUCACUGAUUCCUCCUUCCUGAUGAGCCGUAAUGCCAUUAAUUUGGUGUUGCGGGAAUUUGGACUGUUACUUUAGAAAAAUUAGAGUGUUUAAAGCAAGCUAACGCUUGAAUACAUUAGCAUGGAAUAAUGAAAUAGGACGUUCGAUCCUAAUUUUGUUGGUUUCUAGGAUUGACGUAAUGAUUAAUAGGGAUAGUUGGGGGCAUUAGUAUUCAAUUGUCAGAGGUGAAAUUCUUGGAUUUAUUGAAGACUAACUACUGCGAAAGCAUUUGCCAAGGAUGUUUUCAUUAAUCAAGAACGAAAGUUAGGGGAUCGAAAACGAUCAGAUACCGUCGUAGUCUUAACCAUAAACUAUGCCGACUAGGGAUCGGAUGAUGUUAAUUUUUUAAUGACUCAUUCGGCGCCUUACG
This 529-nucleotide ribosomal RNA is filed under the name uncultured Glomus. Its description in RNAcentral is "SSU rRNA". It matches the Rfam family "Eukaryotic small subunit ribosomal RNA", at positions 559 to 1092 of the family's 1831-position model. The record is from RNAcentral. Lineage: Eukaryota; Fungi; Glomeromycota; Glomeromycetes; Glomerales; Glomeraceae.